GAUGAACGCUGGCGGCGUGCUUAACACAUGCAAGUCGAACGGAAAGGCUCCUGCUUGCAGGGCUCCUCGAGUGGCGAACGGGUGAGUAACACGUGGGUUAGCUGUCCUGCCCUUCGGGAUAAGCCUGGGAAACUGGGUCUAAUACCGGCUAGGACUAUGGGUUGUAUGCCAUGGUGGAAAGUGUUUACGGUGUGGGAUGAGCUCGGGGCCUAUCAGCUUGUUGGUGGGGUAUUGGCCUACCAAGGCGUCGACCGGUAUCGGGCCUGAGAGGGUGUACGGCCACAUUGGGACUGAGAUACGGCCCAGCCUCGUACGGGAGGCAGCGGUGGGGAAUAUAGCACAAUGGGCGCAAGCCUGAUGUAGUGCAGCAGUGUGGGGGAUGACGGCAUUCGGGUUGUAAACUACUUCCGCUAGAGACGAAGCGCAAGUGACGGUACCUGGAGAAGAAGCACCGGCUAACUCCGUG
This 466-nucleotide ribosomal RNA is filed under the name uncultured bacterium. RNAcentral describes it as "partial 16S ribosomal RNA". It matches the Rfam family "Bacterial small subunit ribosomal RNA", at positions 28 to 507 of the family's 1533-position model. The record is from RNAcentral.